AAGGCCUUAGCUUAAUUAAAGUAUCUGGGUUGCAUUCAGGGGAUGUAGGUUAAUGUCCUACAGGUCUUA
This 69-nucleotide transfer RNA is filed under the name Synthliboramphus antiquus (ancient murrelet). Its description in RNAcentral is "tRNA-Ala". It matches the Rfam family "tRNA". Rfam says of the family: Transfer RNA (tRNA) molecules are approximately 80 nucleotides in length. Their secondary structure includes four short double-helical elements and three loops (D, anti-codon, and T loops). Further hydrogen bonds mediate the characteristic L-shaped molecular structure. tRNAs have two regions of fundamental functional importance: the anti-codon, which is responsible for specific mRNA codon recognition, and the 3' end, to which the tRNAs corresponding amino acid is attached (by aminoacyl-tRNA synthetases). tRNAs cope with the degeneracy of the genetic code in two manners: having more than one tRNA (with a specific anti-codon) for a particular amino acid; and 'wobble' base-pairing, i.e. permitting non-standard base-pairing at the 3rd anti-codon position. Lineage: Eukaryota; Metazoa; Chordata; Aves; Charadriiformes; Alcidae. RNAcentral also lists the same sequence under 1 other name. The record is from RNAcentral.